GCAACAAUUAGGCUUUGGGGAUAAAACGAGGUGCGGAGAGCGGGCUGGGGCAUUUCUCCCCGAGAUGGCGGGUCUGACGGCGGCGGCCCCGCGGCCCGGAGUCCUCCUGCUCCUGCUGUCCAUCCUCCACCCCUCUCGGCCUGGAGGGGUCCCUGGGGCCAUUCCUGGUGGAGUUCCUGGAGGAGUCUUUUAUCCAGGGGCUGGUCUCGGAGGCCUUGGAGCAGGAGUGCUGGGGCCUGGAGGCAAACCUCUUAAGCCAGGGCUCGGCACCUUCCCUGCAGGUACCUUUCCGGGGGCUCUGGUGCCUGGUGGAGUGGCUGACGCUGCUGCAGCCUAUAAAGCUGCUAAGGCUGGUAAGUGGUGCUCUUUGGGACAUGCCACAAGCCCUCUGGCUUCCAUGGGGCCCUCUGCUUUGCAAAGAACCUUCCCUCAACUCAGGCUUGGGAGCCAGGUGGGUGGGAUUGUCAGUUGCAAUCUACUGGGGCUCA
This 488-nucleotide small RNA is filed under the name Pongo abelii (Sumatran orangutan). RNAcentral describes it as "retained intron". The record is from RNAcentral. Lineage: Eukaryota; Metazoa; Chordata; Mammalia; Primates; Hominidae.